This 241-nucleotide ribosomal RNA is filed under the name uncultured bacterium. Its description in RNAcentral is "partial 16S ribosomal RNA". It matches the Rfam family "Bacterial small subunit ribosomal RNA", at positions 93 to 334 of the family's 1533-position model. The record is from RNAcentral.
CGACCGCGCACGGGUGAGUAACGCGUAUCCAACCUGCCCACCACUUGGGGAUAACCUUGCGAAAGUAAGACUAAUACCCAAUGAUAUCUCUAGAAGACAUCUGAAAGAGAUUAAAGAUUUAUCGGUGAUGGAUGGGGAUGCGUCUGAUUAGCUUGUUGGCGGGGUAACGGCCCACCAAGGCAACGAUCAGUAGGGGUUCUGAGAGGAAGGUCCCCCACAUUGGAACUGAGACACGGUCCAA